This 441-nucleotide ribosomal RNA is filed under the name uncultured bacterium. RNAcentral describes it as "partial 16S ribosomal RNA". It matches the Rfam family "Bacterial small subunit ribosomal RNA", at positions 28 to 507 of the family's 1533-position model. The record is from RNAcentral.
GAUGAACGCUGGCGGCGUGCCUAAUACAUGCAAGUCGAACGGGGAGUAGCAAUACUCUUAGUGGCGAACGGGUGAGUAACGCGUUGGUACCUGCCCCGAAGCGGGGGAUGACGGACCGAAAGGUCCGCUAAUACCCCAUGUGCUCGGUAACGAGUAAAGGUGAAAACCACUUUGGGAGGGGCCUGCGUCCCAUCAGCUAGUUGGUAAGGUAACGGCUUACCAAGGCGAUGACGGGUAGGGGACCUGAGAGGGUGGCCCCCCACAAUGGAACUGAAACACGGUCCAUACACCUACGGGUGGCAGCAGUAGGGAAUAUUGGUAAUGGGCGCAAGCCUGAACCAGCAACGCCGCGUGUGCGAUGACGGCCUUCGGGUUGUAAAGCACUUUUGACUGGGACGAGGAAGGACGGUACCGGUCGAAUCAGCCUCGGCUAACUACGUG